RNAcentral lists this ribosomal RNA (459 nucleotides) under uncultured bacterium. RNAcentral describes it as "partial 16S ribosomal RNA". It matches the Rfam family "Bacterial small subunit ribosomal RNA", at positions 338 to 795 of the family's 1533-position model. The record is from RNAcentral.
CCUACGGGGGGCUGCAGUGAGGAAUAUUGGUCAAUGGCCGGGAGGCUGAACCAGCCAAGUCGCGUGAGGGAAGACGGCCCUACGGGUUGUAAACCUCUUUUGUCAGGGAGCAAGGUGCAGGUCGGGACCUGCUGUGAGAGUACCUGAAGAAACAGCAUCGGCUAACUCCGUGCCAGCAGCCGCGGUAAUACGGAGGAUGCGAGCGUUAUCCGGUUUUAUUGGGUUUAAAGGGUGCGCAGGCGGAGGCACAAGUCAGCGGUAAAAUCGCGGGGCUCAACCCCGCCCCGCCGUUGAAACUGUGUCUCUUGAGUGCGCGAAGGGUAGGCGGAAUGCGUGGUGUAGUGGUGAAAUGCAUAGAUAUCACGCAGAACCCCGAUUGCGAAGGCAGCAUACCGGCGCCCUACUGACGCUGAGGCACGAAAGUGCGGGUAUCGAACAGGAUUAGAUACCCUGGUAGUC